CUACGGGAGGCUCCAGUGGGGAAUAUUGCACAAUGGGGGGAACCCUGAUGCAGCAACGCCGCGUGGAGGAUGACACAUUUCGGUGCGUAAACUCCUUUUAUAUAAGAAGAUAAUGACGGUAUUAUAUGAAUAAGCACCGGCUAACUCCGUGCCAGCAGCCGCGGUAAUACGGGGGGUGCAAGCGUUACUCGGAAUCACUGGGCGUAAAGAGCAUGUAGGCGGGUAGAAAAGUUGGAAGUGAAAUCCUAUGGCUUAACCAUAGAACUGCUUCCAAAACUCUUUACCUAGAAUAUGGGAGAGGUAGAUGGAAUUUCUGGUGUAGGGGUAAAAUCCGUAGAGAUCAGAAGGAAUACCGAUUGCGAAGGCGAUCUACUGGAACAUUAUUGACGCUCAGAUGCGAAAGCGUGGGGAGCAAACAGGAUUAGAUACCCCGGUAGUC
This 439-nucleotide ribosomal RNA is filed under the name uncultured bacterium. Its description in RNAcentral is "partial 16S ribosomal RNA". It matches the Rfam family "Bacterial small subunit ribosomal RNA", at positions 339 to 795 of the family's 1533-position model. The record is from RNAcentral.